Triplophysa rosa is the source of this 1178-nucleotide long non-coding RNA. RefSeq lists it as uncharacterized. The record is from RefSeq and is a predicted model, not a curated record. The transcript has 3 exons. Lineage: Eukaryota; Metazoa; Chordata; Actinopteri; Cypriniformes; Nemacheilidae.
GUCACUGAAAUCUUUUGAAAAUGUAAACGUUGUUGUGCUUUCCAUCCAAACAAACUGCAGCUGCUCUGUGUGUUUAUUGUGCAGUCUCGCCCUCCACAGUACUGUGGCGCUGUUGGCCCAAUGUCGCAGCGUCAAGGCAUGUGCCAUGUGGCGCUUUCGUUAGUAUGUGUGUUUAACUUUUUCCAGCUCUGCGCAGACCGAUCACCUUAUGACAAAAAGCAUGCGGACUUAGAAUAACAUCUCUAAAGCAUACAGAGCAGUCAGUUCACAAAUAGCUCUCACUGUGCUUUGAUGUCGCCGAUCCGUCUGCGAUCAAACAUCAGUGGCACGAGUGUUCACCGGUGUUGUUCCGCUCGCGCGACAGGCGGGAAUUCAAAAUAACGGAUCGCAACAACCUCUCGACUGUCCCAUUGGAUAAUUUUCAGUAUUUUCCAGUUGAGCAGCAAAAAAAUGGGCAACCAAGGCCAACAGACCCAGCCCACCCUGAUGCUCAUCCUUGCACUGCCUGGGACACCUAAGGCCAACAGGCGCAGCUCCUGUUCUCUUUUUGCCAUAAAUACUUUAGCAAUGCAAAAUUGUGAAAUGUACUAUAGAAAUAAUUUUUACUUUGACUACAUGGAUCCUCACACCACCUGGUAAUAGCAGGAAACCCAUUUGGAGAGAACAGCAUUGUUUUCUGUAGCUCGCAAGGAUUUGCUUUUUGGCAAAUUACAACUUUACCAUGUGUGUAGGCCUUGCUAUGAGAGACUACUUUUUUGCUGGACUUUUUUACAAUUGUACAUUUGUACAAAGUACCUGAAAUAUUUCUGUAUGUACAGUAUAUUUAAAAUUAAGGCAAAUUAUUUGGUUAGUUUUGUUAAGAUAAAGACUUUUCAUUUAUAACAAUAUCACCAACACAAUAUUAAUUAUACAUGUGAUUUCAUGAAUUUAGGAUGGUAAUGUUCAAUAUUGACCAUUCUGUAAAUAUUUAUUCAAUGUAAAUUGUUGUUGUUUAUCAAUAAACUGUUGUAUUUGAUUUAGUAUUUCUGCUUAUUAAAAUAUUGUGAAUAGCAAAUAUAAACUGUGAAAUGGUGCCUUGAAGCACCCAAGAUGGUUCCAGACCAUUUUAAUAAAAGGGAUCCCCAAGAAGCCUUGGAGGGUUCCUCAGAGAACCGCCCUUCAUUAAGCGGUGCCUUGAG